GGACCUCCAAUCAGUCAAGAUURCCCG
Molecule: ribosomal RNA, 27 nt
Filed under: Paraphysomonas sp.
Lineage: Eukaryota; Chrysophyceae; Chromulinales; Paraphysomonadaceae
Description: partial 28S ribosomal RNA
Source: RNAcentral